Molecule: long non-coding RNA, 676 nt
Organism: Drosophila persimilis
Lineage: Eukaryota; Metazoa; Arthropoda; Insecta; Diptera; Drosophilidae
Exons: 2
Source: RefSeq, a predicted model, not a curated record
AUUUCUUAGAUAGUCAUAUUGUUCCAGCGAUGUCCAGACUGCCUAGAGGGUUUGGCCGCUUCCUCCCUCCGUGGUUGGAACUCAACAACGAACUGAGCCAGAAGAUAGCUGUAUUCGAUGCCAUGACCAUUGAGCGAGGGGAGCUAGAUCGCGAUAUCAGUCUAUUACGCAAGCAGCAGGCUGAUACUGAAGAUUGUCUGGCAGAGGACCUGGCCGAGGACGAGUUCCAGAGUUUCCUGAGUGGACAGCAAGUCAUGGAGCAGAGUUAUACAGACCUCGAAAAUAUUUGUAAUCAACAAAUUGGAUGCAUUGUCGAUAAGUUGGCUGCUAAAUAUAAGCGUAUUGUGUACCUCGAUAUCGUCCUAAGGAAGCUUAAGCAAUCUAUCGAGACGGGUAUUGCUACGGCCAAUGCGCAGUUGACAGCAGCGGCGACCAUGUGAUUUAAUGGAGAAAUAUUAAACCAAAUAUACAAAUAUCUGUGCGCGAUAGGCCAGAAAAGCUGCCUCGUGAGUAAAUUCUGUGAUGUUCUCAGCCUUUACUUGAAAAUCUAUGCAUUAUUCCCAGCAGCAAUUAACCAGCUAAAUUAUUCAGUUUCUUGUGAAAUAUAUACUUGAUUUAAUUGAUACCACCGAUGGCGUCAUAAAAAAUAAAUAAAUAACUGCAGUUUGGAUUUGAA